GAGUUCAUGCCCUUACGGGUAGAUCUCCCACCCUUGAAUAUAUUACCUUUGUUGCUUUGGCGGGACGCUUCGUCCACCGGCUUUGGCUGGUGGUGAGUGCCCGCCAGAGGACCCAAAAUUCUGAAAUACAGUGUCGUCUGAGUACUAUAUAAUAGUUAAAACUUUCAACAACGGAUCUCUUGGUUCU
RNAcentral lists this unclassified non-coding RNA (187 nucleotides) under rhizosphere metagenome. RNAcentral describes it as "partial ribosomal RNA internal transcribed spacer region". The record is from RNAcentral.